This 212-nucleotide unclassified non-coding RNA is filed under the name uncultured Clavaria. RNAcentral's name for it is "sequence contains ITS2". Lineage: Eukaryota; Fungi; Basidiomycota; Agaricomycetes; Agaricales; Clavariaceae. The record is from RNAcentral.
AUAUCUCAACAUAAGGAAAUUUCUUGUGCUUGGAUGUUGAAGGAUUUGCUGGUGCAACAACUGCCAGCUCCUUUUAAAUGUAUUAGCAGAGCAUGUAGGACUGGCCUCAGUUUGAUAAGAAUCAUUAUCUAUGCUGUCGCUAGAUUUUUCCUCUUUGUGCUUAGCUUCAAAUGGUCCUCGGACUGUCUCCUUGAGGCAACAAAAAUCUUAUU